AAGGAGUCUUCCGCAUGUGCGAGUAUUUGGGUGUUAAACCCUGGUGCGCAAUGAAAGUAAUAGGUAGGGCGGUGUCAAAGCCCGCACUAUCGACCGAUCCCGUGGGGGUUUUUGAGUAAGAGCACAUAUGGGGGGACCCGAAAGAUGGUGAACUAUGCCUGAAGAGGGUGAAGCCAGAGGAAACUCGGGUGGAGGCUCGUAGCGAUUCUGACGUGCAAAUCGAUCGUCAAAUUUGGGUAUAGGGGCGAAAGACUAAUCGAACCAUCUAGUAGCUGGUUCCCGC
RNAcentral lists this unclassified non-coding RNA (283 nucleotides) under uncultured fungus. RNAcentral describes it as "partial contains 5.8S rRNA, ITS2 and 28S rRNA". It matches the Rfam family "Eukaryotic large subunit ribosomal RNA", at positions 668 to 961 of the family's 3401-position model. Lineage: Eukaryota; Fungi. The record is from RNAcentral.